UCGGGGUACUCGAGUGGCGAACGGGUGAGUAACACGUGGGUGAUCUGCCCUGCACUGUUGGGAUAAGCCUGGGAAACUGGGUCUAAUCCCGAAUAGACCACGCGCUUCAUGGUGUGUGGUGGAAAGCUUUUGCGGUGUGGGAUGGGCCCGCGGCCUAUCAGCUUGUUGGUGGGGUAAUGGCCUACCAAGGCGACGACGGGUAGCCGGCCUGAGAGGGUGACCGGCCACACUGGGACUGAGAUACGGCCCAGACUCCUACGGGAGGCAGCAGUGGGGAAUAUUGCACAAUGGGCGCAAGCCUGAUGCAGCGACGCCGCGUGAGGGAUGACGGCCUUCGGGUUGUAAACCUCUUUCAAUAGGGACGAAGCGCAAGUGACGGUACCUAUAGAAGAAGCACCGGCCAACUACGUGCCAGCAGCCGCGGUAAUACGUAGGGUGCGAGCGUUGUCCGGAAUUACUGGGCGUAAAGAGCUCGUAGGUGGUUUGUCGCGUUGUUCGUGAAAACUCACAGCUUAACUGUGGGCGUGCGGGCGAUACGGGCAGACUAGAGUACUGCAGGGGAGACUGGAAUUCCUGGUGUAGCGGUGGAAUGCGCAGAUAUCAGGAGGAACACCGGUGGCGAAGGCGGGUCUCUGGGCAGUAACUGACGCUGAGGAGCGAAAGCGUGGGGAGCGAACAGGAUUAGAUACCCUGGUAGUCCACGCCGUAAACGGUGGGUACUAGGUGUGGGUUCCUUCCUUGGGAUCCGUGCCGUAGCUAACGCAUUAAGUACCCCGCCUGGGGAGUACGGCCGCAAGGCUAAAACUCAAAGGAAUUGACGGGGGCCCGCACAAGCGGCGGAGCAUGUGGAUUAAUUCGAUGCAACGCGAAGAACCUUACCUGGGUUUGACAUGCACAGGACGCCGGCAGAGAUGUCGGUUCCCUUGUGGCCUGUGUGCAGGUGGUGCAUGGCUGUCGUCAGCUCGUGUCGUGAGAUGUUGGGUUAAGUCCCGCAACGAGCGCAACCCUUGUCCUAUGUUGCCAGCGGGUUAUGCCGGGGACUCGUAGGAGACUGCCGGGGUCAACUCGGAGGAAGGUGGGGAUGACGUCAAGUCAUCAUGCCCCUUAUGUCCAGGGCUUCACACAUGCUACAAUGGCCGGUACAAAGGGCUGCGAUGCCGUGAGGUGGAGCGAAUCCUUUCAAAGCCGGUCUCAGUUCGGAUCGGGGUCUGCAACUCGACCCCGUGAAGUCGGAGUCGCUAGUAAUCGCAGAUCAGCAACGCUGCGGUGAAUACGUUCCCGGGCCUUGUACACACCGCCCGUCACGUCAUGAAAGUCGGUAACACCCGAAGCC
Molecule: ribosomal RNA, 1333 nt
Filed under: Mycobacterium sp. DWMJ-1539A1
Lineage: Bacteria; Bacillati; Actinomycetota; Actinomycetes; Mycobacteriales; Mycobacteriaceae
Description: bacterial SSU rRNA
Rfam family: Bacterial small subunit ribosomal RNA
Source: RNAcentral